This 253-nucleotide ribosomal RNA is filed under the name uncultured bacterium. Its description in RNAcentral is "partial 16S ribosomal RNA". It matches the Rfam family "Bacterial small subunit ribosomal RNA", at positions 524 to 776 of the family's 1533-position model. The record is from RNAcentral.
CACGUAGGGCGCAAGCGUUGUCCGGAAUUAUUGGGCGUAAAGAGCUCGUAGGCGGUCUGUUGCGUCCGCUGUGAAAACUCGGGGCUUAACCCCGAGCCUGCAGUGGAUACGGGCAGACUAGAGGUAGGUAGGGGAGAAUGGAAUUCCCGGUGUAGCGGUGAAAUGCGCAGAUAUCGGGCGGAACACCAGCGGCGAAGGCGGCAUCCUGGCCCUAUCCUGACGCUGAGGCGCGAGAGCGUGGGGAGCAAACAGG